RNAcentral lists this ribosomal RNA (132 nucleotides) under Escherichia coli. RNAcentral describes it as "partial 16S ribosomal RNA". It matches the Rfam family "Bacterial small subunit ribosomal RNA", at positions 1414 to 1533 of the family's 1533-position model. Lineage: Bacteria; Pseudomonadati; Pseudomonadota; Gammaproteobacteria; Enterobacterales; Enterobacteriaceae. The record is from RNAcentral.
GUUGCAAAAGAAGUAGGUAGCUUAACCUUCGGGAGGGCGCUUACCACUUUGUGAUUCAUGACUGGGGUGAAGUCGUAACAAGGUAACCGUAGGGGAACCUGCGGUUGGAUCACCUCCUUACCUUAAAAAAGC